AACGAACGCUGGCGGCGUGCCUAUCACAUGCAAGUCGAACGAGAAAGGGGCUUCGGCUCCGAGUAAAGUGGCGCACGGGUGAGUAACACGUGGGUAACCUGCCUCUAAGAUUGGGAUAACUCGUCGAAAGAUGAGCUAAUACCGAAUAAGACCACAGUUCCCGCGGGAACAGGGGUCAAAGGUAGCCUCUGCUUGCAAGCUAUCACUUAGAGAUGGGCCUGCGCACCAUUAGCUAGUUGGUAGGGUAACGGCCUACCAAGGCAAAGAUGGUUAGCUGGUCUGAGAGGAUGAUCAGCCACACUGGAACUGAGACACGGUCCAGACUCCUACGGGAGGCAGCAGUGGGGAAUAUUGCGCAAUGGGCGAAAGCUUGACGCAGCAACGCCGCGUGAGUGAUGAAGGCCUUCGGGUCGUAAAGCUCUGUCGGGAGGAACGAAUGCUCCUGAGGUUAACAGCCUCGGGAGGUGACGGUACCUUCAAAGGAAGCACCGGCUAACUCUGUG
RNAcentral lists this ribosomal RNA (503 nucleotides) under uncultured bacterium. RNAcentral describes it as "partial 16S ribosomal RNA". It matches the Rfam family "Bacterial small subunit ribosomal RNA", at positions 29 to 507 of the family's 1533-position model. The record is from RNAcentral.